AACCGGCGAACGGGUGCGUAACACGUGAGCAACCUGCCUAUCUGCGGGGGAUAGCCGGCCCAACGGCCGGGUAAUACCGCAUACGUUCACGAGGGGACAUCCCCUUGUGAGGAAACCUCCGGGGCAGAUAGAGGGGCUCGCGGCCUAUCAGCUAGUUGGUGAGGUAACGGCUCACUAAGGCGACGACGGGUAGCUGGUCUGAGAGGAUGGCCAGCCACAUUGGGACUGCGACACGGCCCAGACUCCUACGGGAGGCAGCAGUGGG
Molecule: ribosomal RNA, 265 nt
Filed under: uncultured Gemmatimonas sp.
Lineage: Bacteria; Pseudomonadati; Gemmatimonadota; Gemmatimonadia; Gemmatimonadales; Gemmatimonadaceae
Description: partial 16S ribosomal RNA
Rfam family: Bacterial small subunit ribosomal RNA
Source: RNAcentral